RNAcentral lists this non-coding RNA (22 nucleotides) under Arabidopsis thaliana (thale cress). The record is from RNAcentral. Lineage: Eukaryota; Viridiplantae; Streptophyta; Magnoliopsida; Brassicales; Brassicaceae.
UAUUUAGUUUGUAAGACGGUGA